GGUAUAGUGGUUUAGUGGUUUGAGCGUAGGACAUGAACUCUGGAGAUCAGGGUUCGAUUCCUUGCUUGGCCA
Non-coding RNA from Phrynosoma platyrhinos (Desert horned lizard), 72 nucleotides. The record is from the annotation of a GenBank genome assembly. NCBI's taxonomy places the organism in Eukaryota, Metazoa, Chordata, Lepidosauria, Squamata, Phrynosomatidae.